UGGGCUGGAGGCAAACGUCCGCAGAGGAGUUGACGGUUGCCCUGGGAGACUUCCAAGGCUGUUUUCCUUCUUUGCUCCCACUGGAGGAAGGAAAACAAAAAUAAAAAUAAAGCUAGAACUAGAUUCUGAAAGCUACUAACACAGGGAGUAUAAAGAAGUCAAAAGAUUCCAGUUCUUAAUACUCAUUUGGAAGCAGAUGAAACAAUAUUCCAAGUAAAUUGCAAAGAAGAGGAAAAAAAGAACAGAGUAUGCUGGAUAUGAGGCAGUUCAAAGAAGGCAGAGAUAAGCCUCAUUUGACUGAAGGGAAGAUCCAGACAGCCUUCCACUGACUGAUAAGAGUUAAACAGCUCUAGCUCUAUACAUACUACCUAGAACAGUAGUACUUAUCGCUUGGAAGCAUUUCACAAAUGAAUGGAAUGAGGAGCUUGAACCUCAGUGACCAGAACAAUCUCAGUUUCUAAAGCCAUAAAUAUCCCUUUUAUCUUUUCUAAUAAGUCAGUUGCCUCUGGGUCUAUUGGAUCUAUGUAGCUUCUGCUGCUGAAAUAGACUCGCAGACUCAAUUCACAUUAAUACCACACUGGAGCUUCCUUUCUGAGCACAGAAUGGUCUGACUGAUGUGAUCUGGCUCCAAGAUCAUACAGGCACAAGAAGAGAUGUGACAGCUUUUCAGAGACCCAGAAAAUUAUGAUCUCUUCCUAGAUAUAUGGAAUGUUGAAACUGACCAGGACAAAAAAAAAAAAAUAAGAAAGAGAGAAAAACAGAGGGCGAGAGGAGGAAAAAAGGCAUAGGUGGCUAAAUACCAAAAGAAAAGGAAGAGUUGACAAGAACCAAGGAACCAACAUCACUGAUUUGGGGUUGUUGUUACUGUUUAAACCACACGAAGUCAAGGGAAAAUACACAGCCUUGAGGAACACAGGACCAGGAGGUGCCAGUUCGUGGGCAUGAAGCAGGAGGUUAUUUUCAUCCCAGACCAACCCUCCAAGAUGUCCGCCAUGAGUCACCAGGGUUGCUUCUUCUCACAGGUGGCUUUCACAGGGUAGCUAAAGAUCAGACUCACAGUGGAUUAUCCCACUUGACUAGUAAAGACAAGAGAAGGUAUGUUUGACAAGUUUAGGUAUGUACACAGAAGAAAUAUAAAUAAGCAAUUCAAAGUCAUCACUGGCAACUCAAUUGUAGAUGGGUAACCUGUGAGAGGAGAACUGGAAAGUGAUGGUGGGUCAUAGAGGCUGAAGAAGAGUGUUUUUAACGAAGUUUUUAAAAAUCCAUGCCUGCCACCUGUGGACAUACUACACAGGCAACUACUAUGACUCACUAGUCACACAUGCGCUGCUUAAAUUAUAAACCCUUCAUUUUACAAAUUAGAAAACUGAAGCUCAAGUUUCCUAAAAUCUAUCUACUUUUUCAGUAAGUAGCAGAGCUGGAUUACAGUCCAAGUUUUCUACAUCCUGUUUCAGUUCUCUUUUUCACUUGGUCUUGGCUAACAUAUCCAGGAUCUGAAUUGUUUUAAAGUAUAUGAAAAUAAUUACCUCUUUUAAUUUAUUGAGCACAUUCUAGGUUACAGGUAUUAUAAUAGAUACUUUACUUUUAAUAUCCCAUGCAAUUUCACAAUGGCUUAAAUGAGAUAGAUGCUAUUAUACCUGUAUUACAUGAGUAAAGCCAUGCUUGGUAUAUUGAAUUAUGUGUGGCAUAAAAUCAAAUUAGAAAGUAGUAAAACCCCAUCCUGAAUUACAUCUGUCUAAAUUCUACUAGAAGGGGCAAAUUAUGAAGAUUAACUGUGACAAAAAGAUGUGUACUUUACCCUCUUUCUCUUCAUCUCUAUUACUAUUUUCUUAGUUCAAAGUUUAUUUUACUUAGACUAUUGCAAUAGCUUCCUAGCCAAUCUACUUUCAUCUAUGCUUUGCUAGUCUAUCUUCUAUACUUCCAACAGGGUGUUUUUAAUAUGCGUAACUCAUUACAAAAUUCUGUUGUUUCCAAAGUCACAUAAUAGUGUCUGAAAGAGAACUAAAGAUCCUGGUCUUUUUAACUUUAGCAAACUUAAAUUAAAAAGUACUUGUGAUUCACUUAGGUUUAUUCCACGAAUUCAAGGAUGGUUUGCCUUAGAAAUUCUAUUAUUGUAAAUGAACACAUUAACAGACUGAAAAAAGCAAUAUGAUAAUUUCAAUAGAUAGAAAAAAAUGUUUUUUUAAUUCAAUCCCAAAUAAUAAUAAAAAUUUUAAGCUACUGAAGAGACAUCUGCAUUUACAUGUUUAUUACAACA
Molecule: non-coding RNA, 2257 nt
Organism: Ictidomys tridecemlineatus (thirteen-lined ground squirrel)
Lineage: Eukaryota; Metazoa; Chordata; Mammalia; Rodentia; Sciuridae
Source: RefSeq, a predicted model, not a curated record